CCUUCUACUUGUUGGUAGGAGUUCAUUUGCAAUAAGAGAAAUUGGGGACAUGAAUAAAGCAGGUACACGUAAAUUAUAGAACUGGAUUUUGAUUCUCUCCAUUUCACAACUAAUGGCAUGAGAAAUGGACACCAAAACUCUUAAUUUCAAACAGAAAACUAUUCCGUAAAGUUAGCAACUACGUAGACGUCUCUAAAGUCACUUGUUUCGGCUUUAAGACCCUUGGUUGCACAAAAAAGUUAUUUUCCCAUUGGUAUUUUGAUGUUAAGUUGCAGCACUUUGUGUCGAAAGAGAGAUAAGAAUUCUGUUUAUGAAAUGGAGAGAAGGUCUAAAUCCAUACAGUCACCAGAAAAGGAUUGUUC
This is a long non-coding RNA of Rhododendron vialii, 362 nucleotides long. RefSeq lists it as uncharacterized. The record is from RefSeq and is a predicted model, not a curated record. NCBI's taxonomy places the organism in Eukaryota, Viridiplantae, Streptophyta, Magnoliopsida, Ericales, Ericaceae. The transcript has 2 exons.